Molecule: ribosomal RNA, 253 nt
Filed under: uncultured bacterium
Lineage: Bacteria
Description: partial 16S ribosomal RNA
Rfam family: Bacterial small subunit ribosomal RNA
Source: RNAcentral
UACGGGGGGGGCAAGCGUUGUUCGGAAUUACUGGGCGUAAAGGGCUCGUAGGCGGCCAACUAAGUCAGACGUGAAAUCCCUCGGCUUAACCGGGGAACUGCGUCUGAUACUGGAUGGCUUGAGGUUGGGAGAGGGAUGCGGAAUUCCAGGUGUAGCGGUGAAAUGCGUAGAUAUCUGGAGGAACACCGAUGGCGAAGGCAGCCCCCUGGGCUAGCACUGACGCUCAGGCACGAAAGCGUGGGGAGCAAACAGG